Molecule: small nuclear RNA, 115 nt
Organism: Sorex araneus (European shrew)
Lineage: Eukaryota; Metazoa; Chordata; Mammalia; Eulipotyphla; Soricidae
Product: U5 spliceosomal RNA
Exons: 1
Source: RefSeq, a predicted model, not a curated record
UGACUCUGGUUUCUCUUCAGAUCGUAUAAAUCUUUCCACUUUCACUAAAGAUUGCCAUGGAGAGGAACAGUGUUGAGUCUUAACUCAAUUUUUUGAGAUCUCAUAAAAAGCAAUA